AGCUCCAACUGGGGCGACUUGUGGAGGGUGGUUCCUGGGACAACGCCCAUGCCGUGAUCAGGAACGGGGUCAGCAGGAGUCAGGUGGGGAAGUGCCAGGUGUCCACUGCCACGACCAACACGUUACUCACACUCACGGCACAAGAAUGGCCUCUGUACCCUGUGUGUAGGCAUAUCCAGGCACAGUCGCUUGUAUGUCUGAGACCUCAAGCUGGAGAGUGCUGAUGGCCAACAUGCUGGUCACCUCUCCACAGUCCUUCCUCCUCCUGGACAACACCCCUGCUCUCUCUGGAUGGUCCUGAGCUAAGCCCGGAAGAUCCUUCCUGCCAUGUCCCCCUCCAAUCAGAGCCGACCCACACUGUGUCCCUCCCAGUGGCUCUACUGCCUACUGAACACGUGCACCAUCACCGCCGUGGGGCCCACAGAGUCAAGGCUAUAAAGAGGGACUGAGAACACCGUGACGCCCUGGCCUGCGCACCCUCCUCUGCUCCAUCUGGGUCUGUCCGGAUGGCAGAGGCUCAGAGGGUCUGCCCCUACCAGAUGGUGGAGGCUCAGAAUGUCUGAGCCAGAAAAAGCAUGAAAGAAAACUUAGCCUUCCUCCUCCCAGUUAACAGGCUGGGUCCUGAGGGCACAGUGUCCAGCACGGAGGACACACAGUAAAUAUUCCCAGAAGGAGUGAUGGGUGAACGAAUAAAUAGAAUCUCACCCUGCCACCAUGAUUAAAUUCAGCCCCAAACUUACCUGUCCCAUUGUUUCCAUAUCCUGCCACCUCUGAGGCCUAAUCUGAAGAACUGAUUUGUGCCAGUGGACGAGCACUAUUUCUCUAGGUGAGACAUGCAGGUGUCAACAGGAAAUGUCCUGAGAUGUAAUUCUUCAACCCAGGAAGCCACUCCAAUCAAGAGAACAUAAAGCAAUGGUGAUGGGAUGUGGGGGUUCCAUGGGGCUUGGAUGCCCUGAGGAGGGCCUCAAAUCACAGAAUGAUGAAGGUCUUCUGGAUGCAGUGGCAGGGCAGGAGAGGUAUUGCCCUGGGACUCGAGAUGGGACCACAGCCAAUUGCUCACUCAGCCAUGGCCUGUGGGUCUGACACUGGGACCUCACUAACCCUCUUUUAACACUCCUAUCUGUAAGUAGGGAUCAUGACCCACACUUUGCAGGGGUUCUGAUGCUGCAAAAUUCUGGCGCUUUCUACAUGAUAAGGUCUUUGCUCACCAAAUGGAAGAGACUGCGUGCAGGUAGCAUGGGCCUGCCUACUGCAGGUGGGGUGCUUUGGGCUGCAAGUAACAGAAAAUCCAACUCAAAGUGAAUUGUGUGAUAAAGACAAUGCACCACCUCGCUUAUCAUGGUCUGAGUUCCUCCAUGAGGGUUGCCGCCUGGUGCGUCCUCUGUAAGCUCCCUGAAGCAGGGGCCUAGGCUGACCUUUUUUCUCCACUGCCCCCGAGAGCAUAGACCAGGGCCUGGCACAGAGAAGGCGUCCAGUGAGGAUUCCACCCAGGACACCAUCAAACCCUCAUCGCUACAUGGUCUAUUAAGUUGUGUUCCCCCAACAGCAGUUAAAGAAACCAAAGCUUGGCCAGGCACGGUGGCUCACGCCUGUAAUCCCAGCACUUUGGGAGGCCGAGGUGGGUGGGUCACUUGAGGUCAGGAGUUCGAGACCAGCCUGACCAAUAUGGUGAAAUCCCAUCUCUACUAAAAAUAAGAAUACAAAAAUUAGCUGGGCGUGGUGGCAUGUGCCUGUAGUCUCAGCUACUCAGGAGGCUGAGACAGGAGAAUUGCUUGAACCUGGGAGGCGGAGGUUGCAGUGAGCCAAGAUUGCGCCAUUGCACUCCAACCUGGGCAAUGAGAGUGAAACUCCGUCUAAAAAAAAAAAAAAGAAGAAGAAGAAAGAAACUAGAAACUAAAGCUAAGGGAAGAUAAAUUACCUGCAUGACAUAUUGAAGCACACAGAGGACAGUCCUGGCAUUCCCUACUCUGGGCUCUGGCCAUAACCCUGACAACCCUGCUACUCUACUGUCCUCCCUGGCCUCUCUCAGGCCAGUUUGUCCUCAGAUCGGGCAGUGUGGGAGUUGACAAACCAGUCAACCCAGACUCAGAUGACGCAGAAGUCUGCCCAACACAGAAGUCCACCAACCAUUGCAUUGUGAUCAUUGCACCGAGGACAUAAAUUCAGCAACAUGUGCUGGGUCAGCUGCCUCGUUUUUCUCCAAAGUAGCAAAUUUAUGGGGCACACGUGCACAUGGGUGAUUAUUUCCCAAUAGUUUAUAGUAUCAAGCCUCCUUUCUUUCCUCCCAAUAAAUCUAAUUUAUAUGGAUUGGCAGAUCAAACAGUGCAUUUCCUGGCAUCGAGAGGCUGUGAGUCACUCACAGUGCUUUAGGAAACUUGGGGAGAUUAAGGUUUUGCAUAAUGCAAAUGCGGAUGGAAACAUAUUUGGACUGCCUCGCUGUGGAUGCAAUUAGAGCAAUGAGCACCAGGAGAAAUACUUUUUCCCAGGACACAGCAAGGUCUGCUUGGUAUGCAAAGAGCACAGUUAUUUGCGACACCAGAGCCUGGAACGUGGUGAGCAAAGCACCCAGUGACGGUUUGAUUUGCAGCUUUAAGGAAUUCAAAGAUGAAUAAAACAUUAAAUUAAUUGCCAAAGAACUGUUGCCAAGCCUGCAUGAGAUCUAAUGAAGGCACACAUGCAAAAAACCAACACACACAGAACAACAAACCAAAACUGGGCCUGCGGGAUGCUACCUGCCCCAAGCCCCCGAAACCACAUUUGGUUUUGAGUAUUUUGUCCUACUUGGAAUUUUCUCUCAUCAAUACUCAUCUCAAGUCCUCUCAGCCACGAAAGCUCUCUCCGCUUCCCCCAGCCCACAGGACGCUCCUUCGACUGUUUCCUUGUUCACUGGGGAAAUGUUGACUGAGCACCUGCUAUGUGUCAGGCACUGCUUUCCCAGACGCUGGGGAAACAGCACUGAACGAACCAGGCCACAAUCCCUGCCCUGGUGGCUGCCUUCCUGCGGGGAGUAUGAUAAUAAGCAAAAUAGAGAAAUUAAUAUAUUGGAAAGUGCUCAGUGCUACGGAGAAAACAAAGAUGAAGUGGGGAUAGGAAAUGCCGGGAGGUAGGGUCAAUCGCAGAUUGAGGCAAAGGGGUCAGGGAGGUCCCAAGAUGGGGGACAUUUGUACAGAUCCCUGAAGGAGGUGAGGGUGGUGACUACGAGGAAUGUCAGGCAGAGGGAAUAGCAAGGGGAGAGGCCCGGAGUGGAGGUUCCCGAGUGUUUGAGAACCUGUGGAAGCUGGUGUGGCCGAGUAAGUUAGGGGGAGAGUGAUGGUGAUGCACCCAGACAAGGAGCAGGACCAAGGUCACAUAAAGUCAAUGCAUUAAUUCACCUUUCAAUUCAUUCAUUCACUUACUCAACGAAUCUUUUGAGGCUCUACUGUGAGCCAGGACCUGCUAUUUUAGAUCCUGAAAAUCCAACAUUAGACGUGACAGGCAAGGUCCCAGCUCUCACGGGGCUGUGUAAUGGUGGCUGAUCCGGGAGCAGGAGGGAAGUUACUUUGUUGAGGUGAGUGGGGAAGCCCAAUCGCCACUCGCCUCUAGGUCCACAAUCCCAGCAGAAUUCCCUCUUUUGUUUGCUCUUAGGUGAUUCUUGUCUUCCCCAUAAGCCCAUUUAGCAGAUGAGAAAACUAAGGUUCCUUUGGAAUGGAAGUCCUGGCUUCUCUCCAUAAAGUCUGGAAAUUAGAGGGAGUAGAAUUAACUCCCUUUUCCUUUGCACAGGGCCAGCAUGAGGCUUUGGGGAGGUUCUGAGGCAGGAGACAUCCUACGUCAUCUCCACAGGUCAUGAACCCUAUAGCAUCUCCCACCAAGAGGGUCACGGACCCUACAGCAUCUCCCACCAGGAGGGCCAUGACCAGCCUCUGGGGCUGUGCUGCUGCAUGCCAAGGAGUAGCUGAAUCCUAGGAGUGGAGAAUCCCCAGCCUGGAAGGGGACCCCCUCCACCGACUGCCAUCACUCUGGGGCUCUCUGGCUUGAGGGCUCUCUGGGGCCACGAGGCCAGGCCUCCUCUCCACGUCCAAACAGGCUGGCUGGGUGCAAAAUGCCAUGGUGCUUGCUCUGGAUGGGCUGGAGUUUUCCCUAUUCAGGGGCCAGGGCAAUGGGUGGAGGGCCUGGGUAGAGAGGCAGAGCACGGUUGCGUCCAGGCUGUGCCACCCUGACCCUGAACUCAGGCCCACAGGAGGCUCCAGGCAACAGCUGCUCUCUCCUCUGCUGGGGCCUCCUGCCUGGAAAGCCUGCUCCCACCCACAAUGCCUAGAUUCCUCCCUCCAAGCAGCCUUAGAGACCCCUUUGGGAUCCAGAUCUGCUCUGCUCCUCACCCUGGGGAUCUGGGUGUCACUUUAAAUAAAGGGACCGCUCGUGCUCACCAGGCUGCGGGAUAUUCAGAGGCUGGGCUGGCAGUUCCCAUCCCGUGGUCGCAGAGUGCUAUGGAGGGGAGAUAAUAGGUGUGAUUUCUGUGCAGAGGAUGGACAGGGCUCCAGGGACAGAGGAUGCAGGAGUGACAGGCAUCAUCAGAUACCAUUUGUCCAGCAGCCGCUCCAGCCACCUGGUGUGGAUGUGGCCUCGUGUCCAUACUCUCCAGAGCACCCGGCUUAGUGGCUAUCUGCCUGGCUGUCUCUCCCAUUUUCAUGUGAAAGGGGGCCAGGCAGGACAUGGGGUCUGGGGACUGCCAUCUCCUCCUGGGGGCUGCACUGUGCUGACAGUCUUGUGUCCCCCUGACAGGGGCUGCACAGACGGGCCAGGCAGAAGUGAAGGAGAAGAAGGAAGCCAACAGAAGGUGGCUUUCAGGGCUGGUCACGCAGAGGGUGGAUUCUGACGGGCAGGGCUGCUGUGGGUGGUGGGCACCAUCUAUGCUCAUCCCUGCCCAGGCAGCUCUGGGCUCCCCCAGCUCAGGUGGGCCCCCUCCUCACCCAGGGCGCAGCUGUGGCUGGCAGCAGGCAUUCACCCCCUUCUCAGCUGCUCAGCCAUGGAACCAGGAGCUAACUCAAUUCCUCUGUCCCCAAAGUCUGUGCCCACCAGGCCAUCCGCCUCAAACACUUGGUGGCCAAGGCCUGGGGAUGGUCCCCAGGCUGCAUCUGGUCAGUGGUCAAGAGGCUGCACCUCUAGGAGCCUCCUCUGUCACUCACCCGCCCAGGCCUGGACAGCCUGGACACUCCAGCCAGAGGCAGCCCAGAGGGUGUGGGAGGGGCUCUCUGGGGACAGAGCAGGAGGGGACACUGCUGUGACCCUGUAGCUGCAGACAUGUGUCUCCACGAAGGGAAGAGGCUGCUGUCCACUGUCGCUUUCUGCAGUGACACUGUGCCCUGGCCCGGGCUCUCUGCUGGGUUGCAGAAGUGCCUGGGUCAGGACAGCUCGCAUCUGCCUUCACCGCAGACCCCUCUCUGCAGCCCAUCUGAGGCAAUGUGGCCUCUGCUGUCCAAGACUCACUUCGAGGGGAUCCUUUUCCUUUUUUAGUGGAAACCUGGUGUCCUCCCUUUGAGUGCUUUUAGGGGCUGGGGAGGAGGUGGCUAUUGGCGGCAGUGCGGGGGCUUCAUGCUCUGCCUGCGCGCAGCAGAGAACACGGCUUCAUUGGUGGGAUUUGUCUGGUGACUGGGCAGGUGGGUCGCCUGGACACGUGCUCCCAGCCUUCAGAUGUGACAAGGAGGGGACCAUUUGCGGGGUUGCUGUGUGCUGGGGACAGAGCAGAAAAUGCCAGGCGGCACCAUUUUUCCCACUCCCCACCCGCCCGUGCUCACUCAGAGGGAAUGUACAGAUAUUCUGUUUGUAAUUAAAAAGUAAUUUAAUUAUCCGCUGAAAAUGAGGUUUCAGAAUUAAUAUUGAAAUGAAUUCUAGCUGUGCUGUAUGAUGUCUUUUCUCCCUGCUCAUUAGAACAUCGGGAGGGGUGAGGAGAGAAGGCCCAGGAGGAGGGGCGUCCUUCCCAGGCAGCUGUCACAGGCCCCUAGCUGAGCUCUCAUGGCAGACACAGCCCAGGACACUCAGACCCAGAGUGACUACGAGCCCCGGCAAGACGUGGAGGAGCAGAGUUACAACCCGUCAAGAGCCUGAUUUCAGGUUGAAACCAGGCUUCACCAUGCAGCAGCUGUGUGGCCUCAGGGAAGUUACUGAACCCCUCUGAGCCUCCCAUGGAAAAUAAGGAUGAUGGUUCCCCUCACAGGGUUGUCGGGAGGAUUCAGUGUCCUCCUUCAGGUCUUGACUCGGAUGUUGCCUCUGAGUGAGGGCGUCUUUGGCCACCCCAUUUAAAGUGCCAACCCUGACACUUCCUCCCUCCUUUCCCCUCUGUCCUCUUCCUGGCUCUUAUCACCAUCAGACAAACCAAGUUUUCACUUCUUGAUCAUUGUCCAGCCCCUGCUGUGAAAUGUGAAGUCCUAAGACACAGGCUUUUUUUGUUUGUUACGUUCAUUGCUUUAGAAGGAAUUAAGGACAAGCUACCCCAAAUGACGUCACUUUGGUAUAUGGAUUAUUUUGAGCUGCAGGCACUGGAGAAACAGCAGGUGCAGGCAGGGCCUUCGGACCUCCCCUUUUCUAACCAAGAACAGGCCAUGACAUUUCCCACGAGAUACACACUCCCUUUGUACCAGGAAGAGAACAUCCUUAUCACCAAACACUGGGAGUGGAUGCCGAGGUGCAUCUGCACAAACACACUUAAUAAAAUAACCCUUUGCUUCCACCAGUUUUACUCGUUUCUCCCCCACGAAUCUUCCAGUUCCUCCCCCACGAUUUACUGCCCCCAGUCCAAACCUUUUUGUCUCAUCAUUUCUUCACA
Molecule: long non-coding RNA, 6799 nt
Filed under: Homo sapiens (human)
Lineage: Eukaryota; Metazoa; Chordata; Mammalia; Primates; Hominidae
Description: HSALNT0401440
Source: RNAcentral